UUCUGUAUAAAUAUUUUAUUAUGUAUAAAAGACAACUUACAUGGGUAGAUGCUCUAUUAAAACAAAUCACAAGCUUUCUGUUUUCAUUAAAAGAUUCAAAUGCUUUAAAGAGCAUUUUAGAAUACCUCUUCCCUCUUCUACAGUGAUUAAUUAGGGACUGAUACCAAGUAGCAAAUGUACCACAACAUAGCAAUGGCUGGUGUUUCUAAUGAUGCUAUGACAAUGUCGAGGAGAGCACCAUACAGAAUCCAAGUUCAGAUUCAAGGCUUGGGCUCCUUGGUCCCCAAGUCAACAAAACCAGGCAGAGUUAUAGAAUCAAAUAGCCAAUCUGCAGACUUUUUAACAGACCUUUGCAAAACAUCUCCUUUGGGAUGUCAGCUGGCUCUGGCAAAUACAACUUCUCUUCAUUCUAUUUAAGACAGGGACAAUUGGAAAUAACAGUGGGAGAGAAAAAACAUAAGGAAUAAAGUGAAGCCCUGGAAAACAGCAUCAAAAGGGAAACUCAUUAAAGGAAAAAGCUGUCCAUAGAUCAGCUGCUUUUCUUAUAGUACAUAUAUUUGCUCAAUAUAGGAUUAACAUUUUAAUGUCAUCAUGUAAGCAUUCAAUCUUCUCACAGAUCAGAUCAGUUUUGUUUAGUGGUAUUAUUUUAUACAUGAGAUCCAUACAAAGGAGAUUUUUUUGUUUUCCUUUUGUCAAGACCUUAAAAAGGCACUACAAAAAGUAACCAAAAUACUACAAUGAUAGGACUGUAGUAGUUAUCUAUGUGGAAUUUCAUGUACAUCAUUAAAAAUACAGUGUGUUAUUUAAUUUGUAACCUGUCUUCAACUUCUUCCAGCUAGAUGAGCAAGCAAAAUGUUGCCAUGUUAAAAACUGAGUUGCACAACUUUUUUGAACUCUUCAUAUGGCUGAGAAGUUUAUGAGUAUCAGUACAUAAACUACCUAACAAAGAGCAGUCAGAACCUGAUGUGUGAACAGUCAACUAUACAUAAUUAUAGCUAAUUUCAUAUUAGGAUAUGUAGGUUUGAGUGUUGUUCAAGGCAUAAUAUGGUCCCAAGGUAUAAGGUUUCUCUCAAAAAUGAGAAAGUUAGGUUAGUGCAGUGACACUAAAGUUAUCUGAAGACUGAAGUACCCUGCAAGAGAGACUUUUCUGUUUGUUGUCAUAGGAAAAAUAAAAUAA
Strigops habroptila (Kakapo) is the source of this 1177-nucleotide long non-coding RNA. The record is from Ensembl. NCBI's taxonomy places the organism in Eukaryota, Metazoa, Chordata, Aves, Psittaciformes, Psittacidae.